AUGCACCAUCUGCUUGUUGGGUGCGUUGUGUCCCGCAUGGUGUGGUAUGACAUCCUAUCCUGGUGUCGUCUUACUACACUUCCUCCUGACGGCACCGUGGGCUUCUACGAUUGGUGAGCAACGGCCCUCCAUGACUCCCCAGCAGGCCAGCGCAAAGGCCUAGCUUCUCUCAUUGCGUCGACUGCUUGGGCCAUAUGGAGACACCUCAACGCUUGCAUUUUCGACGGCCUAACACCUUCCACCAUCCUCCUGAUACACAACAUUAAGGAGGAAGCUCGCACGUGGGCCAAUGCCGGUGCUAGAGGGCUUAGUUCGAUCAUUGGUGUAACCUGA
This 333-nucleotide ribosomal RNA is filed under the name Triticum aestivum (bread wheat). Its description in RNAcentral is "partial small subunit ribosomal RNA". Lineage: Eukaryota; Viridiplantae; Streptophyta; Magnoliopsida; Poales; Poaceae. The record is from RNAcentral.